Molecule: long non-coding RNA, 594 nt
Filed under: Marmota monax (woodchuck)
Lineage: Eukaryota; Metazoa; Chordata; Mammalia; Rodentia; Sciuridae
Source: RNAcentral
CUCCCACCCACCCCGAUCCUGAGCGUUGGUAAAACUGGGAAGGCAGUAGCACGGGCGGAGGAGGGCAGUGGUGAGGAAGAACAGUUAAGACUUUAAUCUGUCAGCAGACUUUUAAUCUGGCAGGUGGUGCUGUAGAAAGGGUCAGUCAGGAGAAAGGCAGUGCCCCCUCCCACUAGGACAGCCAGUGUCAGACUUGGCCCCCACCCCCCACCCUCCAGGGCAUCCAGCCCAAGUACCAGGUCCUGCUAGAAACUAGCUCUGCCAGUUUGGGAUUCAUGAAGAUGGGGGAUCUCUAUUCCUCUCAGCAUAGCAUUGCAAGAUUCCCUGGGUCCACCGUCUUGCUUUGGAGCUAGGCUAGAAUAUGAUGAGCUUUUGAGGAUCGGAUUUGAACCCCAGGGAAGUCUCAAUUUUCUGUGGUGAGAAUAGGAGAAAGGAGGUUCUUUGAGCAGCUACCCUUUAAAAGGACCAGUAAGGUCUUGCAUGUGAGAGUGUGGGGUUAGGGAGUGAGGGAGAAGUCCUGGCACAAAAGUCCUGUCACUCUUUCUCCUCUCUGCCUGGGCUGUCCUGGGGCAUAGACAGAGGGUUGGGGAGCAC